UAGGGAAUCUUCCGCAAUGGACGCAAGUCUGACGGAGCAACGCCGCGUGAGUGAAGAAGGAUUUCGGUUCGUAAAACUCUGUUGUUAGAGAAGAACAGCGCAUAGAGUAACUGUUAUGCGUGUGACGGUAUCUAACCAGAAAGCCACGGCUAACUACGUGCCAGCAGCCGCGGUAAUACGUAGGUGGCAAGCGUUGUCCGGAUUUAUUGGGCGUAAAGCGAGCGCAGGCGGUCAAUUAAGUCUGAUGUGAAAGCCCCCGGCUCAACCGGGGAGGGUCAUUGGAAACUGGUUGACUUGAGUGCAGAAGAAGAGAGUGGAAUUCCAGGUGUAGCGGUGAAAUGCGUAGAUAUAUGGAGGAACACCAGUGGAGAAGGCGACUCUCUGGUCUGUAACUGACGAUGAGGCUCGAAAGCGUGGGGAGCGAACAGG
This 429-nucleotide ribosomal RNA is filed under the name Bacteroidota bacterium. Its description in RNAcentral is "Bacteroidetes bacterium partial 16S ribosomal RNA". It matches the Rfam family "Bacterial small subunit ribosomal RNA", at positions 355 to 776 of the family's 1533-position model. The record is from RNAcentral. Lineage: Bacteria; Pseudomonadati; Bacteroidota.